RNAcentral lists this ribosomal RNA (440 nucleotides) under uncultured bacterium. RNAcentral describes it as "partial 16S ribosomal RNA". It matches the Rfam family "Bacterial small subunit ribosomal RNA", at positions 338 to 795 of the family's 1533-position model. The record is from RNAcentral.
CCUACGGGAGGCAGCAGUGGGGAAUAUUGCACAAUGGGGGAAACCCUGAUGCAGCGACGCCGCGUGAGUGAAGAAGUAUUUCGGUACGUAAAGCUCUAUCAGCAGGGAAGAAAAUGACGGUACCUGACUAAGAAGCCCCGGCUAACUACGUGCCAGCAGCCGCGGUAAUACGUAGGGGGCAAGCGUUAUCCGGAUUUACUGGGUGUAAAGGGAGCGUAGACGGCAGCGCAAGUCUGGAGUGAAAUCCCAUGGCUUAACCAUGGAACUGCUUUGGAAACUGUGCAGCUAGAGUGCAGGAGAGGUAGGCGGAAUUCGUGGUGUAGCGGUGAAAUGCGUAGAUAUUAGGAGGAACACCAGUGGCGAAGGCGGCUUACUGGACUGUAACUGACGUUGAGGCUCGAAAGCGUGGGGAGCAAACAGGAUGAGAUACCCGAGUAGUC